Molecule: unclassified non-coding RNA, 310 nt
Filed under: Hevea brasiliensis (rubber tree)
Lineage: Eukaryota; Viridiplantae; Streptophyta; Magnoliopsida; Malpighiales; Euphorbiaceae
Source: RNAcentral
CAAGAACCAUUGAAGAAAUGGUAUGAGCAAAAAGAUUGGCGAUAUAGUGGAAUUCAUGCCUUGGCUACAGCGGGGAAUGGAUAUCUAUACACUGGAAGUGGAGAUAGGUCAAUUAAAGCAUGGUCAUUGCAAGAUGGCAUUCUAUCAAGCGCUAUGGAUGGUCAUAAAUCAGUAGUUUCCACAUUGGCAGCAUGUGAUGGAAUUCUCUAUAGUGGGAGUUGGGAUGGGACCAUUCGACUGUGGAGUCUAAGUGAUCAUAGUCUUUUGACAGUGUUAGGCGAAGAUGUGCCAGGAACUGUGACCUCUGUCU